GGGCGUUUAGCUCAGUUGGUUAGAGCACACCCCUUACAAGGGUGGGGUCGCGGGUUCGAGUCCCCCAACGCCCA
Molecule: transfer RNA, 74 nt
Filed under: Anaerolineae bacterium
Lineage: Bacteria; Bacillati; Chloroflexota; Anaerolineae
Description: tRNA-Val
Rfam family: tRNA
About the family: Transfer RNA (tRNA) molecules are approximately 80 nucleotides in length.
Source: RNAcentral